Molecule: unclassified non-coding RNA, 247 nt
Filed under: fungal sp.
Lineage: Eukaryota; Fungi
Description: partial internal transcribed spacer region
Rfam family: Eukaryotic small subunit ribosomal RNA (bases 1-46)
Source: RNAcentral
AAGUCGUAACAAGGUCUCCGUUGGUGAACCAGCGGAGGGAUCAUUACUGAGUUAUCUAACUCCAAACCCAUGUGAACAUACCUAUCGUUGCCUCGGUGGGAACAACCUACCCGGGACCUACCCGGUAGCUACCCGGUAGCUGAGGUUGCCUCCGCCGGUGGACUACUAAACUCUUGUUUUUAUGUGGCACUUCUGAGUACACUUUUAAAAUAAGUCAAAACUUUCAACAACGGAUCUCUUGGUUCUG